ACUCAAAUGAAUAGACGGGGGCCCGCACAAGCGGAGGAACAUGUGGUUUAAUUCGAUGAUACGCGAGGAACCUUACCUGGGCUUAAAUGUAGAGUGCAUUUUCUAGAGAUAGAAAUUCCCUUCGGGGCUUUCUGCAAGGUGCUGCAUGGUUGUCGUCAGCUCGUGCCGUGAGGUGUCGGGUUAAGUCCCAUAACGAGCGCAACCCUUAUCGUUAGUUGCCAGCUGGUAAAGCAGGGGACUCUAGCGAAACUGCCACCGUAAGGUGAGAGGAAGGUGGGGAUGACGUCAAAUCAGCACGGCCCUUAUGUCCAGGGCUACACACGUGUUACAAUGGCCGGUACAGAGGGCUGCUACCUGGUGACAGGAUGCUAAUCUCGAAAACCGGUCUCAGUUCGGAUCGAAGUCUGCAACUCGACUUCGUGAAGCCGGAUUCGCUAGUAAUCGCGCAUCAGCAACGGCGCGGUGAAUACGUUCCCGGGCCUUGUACACACCGCCCGU
This 498-nucleotide ribosomal RNA is filed under the name uncultured archaeon. RNAcentral describes it as "bacterial SSU rRNA". It matches the Rfam family "Bacterial small subunit ribosomal RNA", at positions 899 to 1397 of the family's 1533-position model. The record is from RNAcentral.